Molecule: ribosomal RNA, 1306 nt
Filed under: metagenome
Description: SSU rRNA
Rfam family: Eukaryotic small subunit ribosomal RNA
Source: RNAcentral
AUACCGGGCCUUUUUGGGCUUGGUAAUUGGAAUGAGGGAGAGUUAAACGGACCAUCGAGUGUCCAUUGGAGGGCAAGUCUGGUGCCAGCAGCUGCGGUAAUACCAGCUCCAAUAGCGUAUAUUAAAGUUGUUGCAGUUAAAAAGCUCGUAGUUGGACUUGUGUGCGCUGUCCGCGGGUGGCCUGCGCCCAAAAGGGCGUUUCGGUUCGGCCCCGGUGGCGCCUUGAAAUCUGCAGCUGGGGGGACGUUGGCCUUAACUGGUCGGCGACCGCACGCCGGCUGCUCGGUUACUGUGAGAAAAUUAGAGUGUUCAAGGCAGGCAUUGGGUGCAAUUGAAUACAUUAGCAUGGAAUAAUAAAAUAUGGCUCCUGCCGUAUUUUGUUGGUUUUGACUGGUGGGAGUAAUGAUUGAUAGGGACGGUUGGGGGUGCUAGUAUUGAGCGGCCAGAGGUGAAAUUCAUGGAUUCGCUCAAGACUAACUUAUGCGAAAGCAUUCACCAAGGACAUCCUCUUUAAUCAAGAACGAAAGUUGGGGGAUCGAAGACGAUCAGAUACCGUCGUAGUCUCAACCAUAAACUAUGUCGACUUGGGAUCGGCGGUAGUUUUUUCAUUAAGACACUGUCGGGACCACGGGAGAAAUCAAAGUGUCUGGACUCUGGGGGAAGUAUGGUCGCAAGGCUGAAACUUGAAGGAAUUGACGGAAGGGCACCACCAGGAGUGGAGCCUGCGGCUUAAUUUGACCCAACACGGGGAAACUUACCAGGUCCAGAGAUGUAGAGGAUUGACAGAUUGAAGCUCUUUCUUGAUCACUUCGGUGGUGGUGCAUGGCCGUUCUUAGUUGGUGGAGUGAUUUGUCUGGUUAAUUCCGUUAACGAACGAGACCUCAGCCUGCUAGUGUAGUCGGCUGGAUUGCCUUUGGCGAUCCGUGAUUUCGACUUCUUAGAGGGACAAUCGACGCGCAGUCGAUGGAAGUUUGAGGCAAUAACAGGUCUGUGAUGCCCUUAGAUGUUCUGGGCCGCACGCGCGCUACACUGCUGGGCUCAGCGAGUUUUACUUGGCCGAGAGGCCCGGUUAAUCUUGUGAAAUCCCAGCGUGCUUGGGCUCGCCUCCUGCAACUGGAGGCGCCAACGAGGAAUUCUAGUAGACGCAGGUCAUCAACCUGCAUCGAUUACGUCCCUGCCCUUUGUACACACCGCCCGUCGUUCCAUAAGAGUGAGGCAUCCGGUGAAUUCUCGGGAGAGCCUGGGCGUGGCCAGCAAUGGUCUGCUCGGGUUUGAACUUGCAUAAACUUGGUGCCUAUGAUUAGGG